RNAcentral lists this ribosomal RNA (245 nucleotides) under uncultured bacterium. RNAcentral's name for it is "partial 16S ribosomal RNA". It matches the Rfam family "Bacterial small subunit ribosomal RNA", at positions 524 to 769 of the family's 1533-position model. The record is from RNAcentral.
UACGUAGGGUGCAAGCGUUAAUCGGAAUUACUGGGCGUAAAGCGUGCGCAGGCGGUUUUGUAAGUUUGUCGUGAAAUCCCCGGGCUCAACCUGGGAAUGGCGAUGAAGACUGCAAGGCUAGAAUCUGGCAGAGGGGGUAGAAUUCCACGUGUAGCAGUGAAAUGCGUAGAGAUGCGGAGGAACACCGAUGGCGAAGGCAGCCCCCUGGGCUAACACUGACGCUCAGGCACGAAAGCGUGGGGAGC